AUACAGAGGGUGCGAGCGUUAAUCGGAAUUACUGGGCGUAAAGCGCGCGUAGGCGGCUGAUUAAGUCAGAUGUGGAAUCCCAGGGCUCAACCUUGGAACUGCAUCUGAUACUGGUCAGCUAGAGUUUAGGAGAGGGAAGUAGAAUUUCAGGUGUAGCGGUGAAAUGCAUAGAUAUCUGAAGGAAUACCAGUGGCGAAGGCGGCUUCCUGGCCUAAAACUGACGCUGAGGUGCGAAAGCGUGGGUAGCAAACGGGAUUAGAAACCCUAGUAGUCC
RNAcentral lists this ribosomal RNA (274 nucleotides) under uncultured bacterium. RNAcentral's name for it is "partial 16S ribosomal RNA". It matches the Rfam family "Bacterial small subunit ribosomal RNA", at positions 523 to 796 of the family's 1533-position model. The record is from RNAcentral.